This 404-nucleotide ribosomal RNA is filed under the name uncultured Campylobacter sp. RNAcentral describes it as "bacterial SSU rRNA". It matches the Rfam family "Bacterial small subunit ribosomal RNA", at positions 28 to 431 of the family's 1533-position model. Lineage: Bacteria; Pseudomonadati; Campylobacterota; Epsilonproteobacteria; Campylobacterales; Campylobacteraceae. The record is from RNAcentral.
GAUGAACGCUGGCGGCGUGCCUAAUACAUGCAAGUCGAACGAUGAAGUCCUAGCUUGCUAGGAUGGAUUAGUGGCGCACGGGUGAGUAAUAUAUAGUUAAUCUGCCCUACACAGAGGAACAACAGUUGGAAACGGCUGCUAAUACCUCAUACUCCUAUUUGACAUAAGUUAAAUAGGGAAAGUCUUUUCGGUGUAGGAUGAGACUAUAUCGUAUCAGCUAGUUGGUAAGGUAAUGGCUUACCAAGGCUAUGACGCGUAACUGGUCUGAGAGGAUGAUCAGUCACAUUGGAACUGAGACACGGUCCAAACUCCUACGGGAGGCAGCAGUAAGGAAUAUUGCGCAAUGGGGGAAACCCUGACGCACCAACGCCGCGUGGAGGAUGAACUUUUUUGGGGAUGGAACU